Molecule: RNA transcript, 1643 nt
Organism: Arabidopsis lyrata subsp. lyrata
Lineage: Eukaryota; Viridiplantae; Streptophyta; Magnoliopsida; Brassicales; Brassicaceae
Gene name: non-functional pseudokinase ZED1
Exons: 1
Source: RefSeq, a predicted model, not a curated record
UUCCAGAAGGUCGAGUCUCUCAUUUCGUUCUGUGGAAUUUUCAACGAUGGGUUCCGUCUUUUGUCUUCAAACCGGGAAAAGGUACUGUCUUGUUUGCACCCAGAAAGUUUAAAGAUUGGAUUUUCAGAAGCACCUUUUCGGUCAGAAAAAAAUCAGAUAUUUUUUAUUUUUGGGGAAAACUUGAACAUUUUCGCCCACUAAUUUCACUUUUUUUUUAUAAAUGGAAUCGAUAGUGAAGAAGUUGAAACAAAAUCUGAGAUCUGGGUCCGUGAAAAAGACGGAAAAAAGCAUGAAGAAGGAAAGAUGGUUUUUGGAGAACGGAAGUAUCUUCUUAAAAGAGCUCAUCGCUGAUUGUAAUGGUAAAUCCAUUCCUAUACGUAGCUUUACCUCUUCCCAGAUUCGUAAAGCCACCAAGAAUUUCGAUUCCAGUUGUUUUGUCACUGAAGAAGGGUUCUACAUAUGGUACAAAGGUGUUAUCGAAGAUAGAUCUUACAUGAUCAAGAGAUUCUCUGAGUAUAAAGUCACAGAUUACAGAGUAGGAGAGGUUUAUAAAGACAUUGUCUUGUCUGCUCGGAUGAGCAACCACAGCAACUUUCUUCAAUUAUUAGGAUGUUGUCUUGAUUUCCCUUUUCCGGUUCUUGUGUUUGAAUUUGCUGAACGUGGAGUUUUGAAUCAUCGAGGAGGUGUUACCGUUAACGGGGAGGAAUCUUUAUUGCCUUUGAGUUUGAGGUUGAAGAUUGGGAAGGAGAUUGCAAAUGCCUUGGCUUAUCUUCACAUGGCUUUCCCUAAGAUCAUUAUAUUUAGAGAUGUGAAGCCAAUGCACGUUUUCUUGGACAAGAACUGGACUGCAAAGUUGUCUGAUUUAUCUUUUUCAAUAUCGCUGGACGAGGGAAAUCACAGAUAGAAGCGGAAGACGUGCUGGGCACAUAUGGUUACCUUGAUCCAUUAUACUUUGCAACUAGAAUUGUGACAGAAUAUACUGAUGUGUACAGCUUUGGAGUCCUUUUGAUGGUUGUUAUGACUGGCAGAUCGGUUUACUUCACUGGACCUGACGGAUAUCGAGUAGGUAUUCUUGCAUAUGUGAAAGGUUUAUCUGAGUAUGGGAAGCUCAGUGAAGUAAUAUGUCCUAUGAUGAUGCAAGACAUGACAAGUGCUCAAAGAUUGCAGGUGGAAGCAUGUGUUUUACUUGCACUGAGAUUCUGCGAGGAGAGGGUUGAAGACAGAACGAAGAUGAUUCAGGUAGCUAAAGAACUCAAGCGGAUAGAACAUCAUGUUUUGAGAUCCUAGCUAGUGAUCAUCUCUACUCUCAGACUGUAUAGCCAAGUUUCAAAUUUAUUAGUUCUGAAAGUUUGGAACUCAAGCGGAUUAUGGACCUGAAGGAUGCCAAAGAGUUUAAGGGGUUAGAAAGACUUUGAAAGCCUCUAUGUCCGACCCAAACAAAGUCUACUUUGUGUAGAGUUGUCUAAAAGCCUUUGCUUAUAUAUGGUCUUUCUCUGUUUUUCAGAUUUCUCUAGUAUUUUUGUUGAUAUGUAACAUGAGCUUAGAUAGCUAGAUUUCAGUUUGGGCCUAAUGGCGUCAUAAUGAAACUGCAAAGCUAUUUCUGCAUUAUUAGUUCCAGAAGUUACAAAGAUGAUUUACAUCUA